GGUAGGAUGGCUGAGUGCUAAGCGGUGGUUUGUAGCUCCAUGUACAAGGGUUCAAAUCCCUUUCCUAUCA
RNAcentral lists this transfer RNA (70 nucleotides) under Omobranchus fasciolatoceps. Its description in RNAcentral is "tRNA-Tyr". It matches the Rfam family "tRNA". From Rfam's summary of the family: Transfer RNA (tRNA) molecules are approximately 80 nucleotides in length. Their secondary structure includes four short double-helical elements and three loops (D, anti-codon, and T loops). Lineage: Eukaryota; Metazoa; Chordata; Actinopteri; Blenniiformes; Blenniidae. The record is from RNAcentral.